GUUUGAGCAGUGAGGGUUUUAAGAGGAGGUAAAUGGUGUUUGAGGAGUAACAGUCGACUCAGCCCAUCCUGGAGAGAGGAGGAGGCCCUCCGGCCUUGUGUAGAACCGACGAAUCUACGGCAGGGGGCGCCUGAGGCCCGAAAAACCGGUGCGUGAAAUUUUUUUUUUGUCCGGCGGAAACUUCUAAAAGAAGUAACAAUUUAAAAUUCCUGGAGCACGUGUCAGGUAGCAGUAUCAAGAAGAAAAAAGUCAACUGAAAAAGCUUCUACCAAACCAGUGGAUAAGAACCUUUUUAGGAGAGUGUGCAUGGGAGCGAUUUUAUUGUCUGUCUGGAAACUAGGCCUGGAACUUUUAUCCAAGAUCCGGAUUCGAUCCGGAUCCGAUCCAAAAAUUCGGUUAUCCGGAGGGGUCGAAUCCGGAUCCGGAUCCUGAUAUCUUAAUUUUUUAGUCCGGAUAUCCGGAUCCGUGAGUUUUAUUAAUAACUAUUUCAAAAAUAGUAAUAUAUAUAUAUUAAUUUUAUUUAAUAUAUUUUUAUUUUUAUAAUAGUAUAUAUAAAUUUUAUGUAAAUUUUAUAAUAUUAUACAAAGAAAUAAUUAAAAACAUUAUAUAUAUUUUUAUUUUUAAAUUAUUUUUAAUAUUUUAUAUAUAUUAAUAUUAGUUUUUAUUUAUUUUAAGGAUCCAAAUCCUGAUCCGGAUAUCCGCCGGAUAUUAUAAUUUUUAGAAGGAUAUCCGACAUCCGGAUAUCCGAGAACCCCGGAUCCGGAUAAGGAUAGUAAAAUUAUGGAUCCCCCGGAUAAGGAUCCGGAUCCGGAUACUUUAAAAUUGUCUGGAUACCCGAUCCGUCCCACGCCUACUAGAAACUACUAAACUAGUCAUUUCAAUAGUUAUUUUAUGAGUGUGUUACAUCAUCAGACACAUUAUUUUCUUUUUUUACAAGAUAAAGCACUUUCCACUUGAGGAACACAUUGUCCUUUUCCACCCCUUGUGGUUUUACAGCAGUACCCUUCACGUUUGGUUCUGAGAAACUAGAGGAUGGCUGCAUUUUUUUAUUUUAUUUAUUUUUUCUCAACUUUUUCUUUGUUCUUUUUGCAAAGUUCUUAUGUUUUUAUUUGUUUUUUUCUCAGAGUUUAAGAAAUUUGAAGAAAGUAUAAUUAUUACAAUAAAUUGUAAUUUGUUUUUCUCUAUAUUUUAACAUCCAUUUUCAUAUAUAUAUUUUAUAUAUUUCAACAAUUUUAUAAAAAAAUGUAUGGACAUAAGAAGUGUGGAUGCAAAAUUGUGAACAUGUAAGAAAAAUACGUGAACAUAAAAAGAUGUGGACAUGGAUGGAUAAAAAAUAUAGAAAAUCUCUUUAAAAUUUUCGUGGAUGAGGUUUCAUGAACUAAGUUUCAUUGAUGUGUUUUCUUGGACAAGUUUUUAUAUUCUUAAUCAUCUUACAUAAUUUUUUAGUAUCUGUGGACAAGUACUUUAUGCAUACCAUAUUGAUACCUUAUUGUGGAUAAUAUAGUUAUAACAUAAUUAUGGACAUGGACACAAAAACUAUGGACAUGGAUAUCAUAUUUCUUUCUCCAUCAAACAGAAAAAAACUGGAUAAAGCAAUCUAAAGAGAUUUGCCAGGUCCAUAUUCGACUAACAAUUACAAAAACAUAAGCUUUCUAACGUACGCUAAUAAAAAUUGUUUAGACACACUACAUAAGCUAACCAGAAGCCUAAGUCAAAGCCUGGGAAAAACUAAGAGGUACCUCUUUUCCUGAGCUUAUUGGGAACCAUACGUGUAGAUUCAUGGAGUUUUGUAUACCGAACUCGUUACCAUCUAACUUCUUCCACGGCGUAAACUUAUCUUUACUCUUUCUUGCUCUCAUUAAAAUCUUCCAUUCUUUUGCAUGACAAAACACACACACACAAGAAUUUCACAAGCCUUGUUAGAAUCAAAUUCUAUUGGUGUUGUAUUGAAUGAAGCACGAAACUCACCAAAACUUUCUUCUUUGUGUAGUUUCACGAGACAUCUUGGUGCUGUGAUAGCUACAGCACAUCCACAAUAUCUGAAAAAGUUCCAAUUUUUUUGGGCAGUUACUAUAGAUUUAACCAAUUACAAUCAAAGAAAAGAGAUGGAGAUUUAACCAAUGAACAACACUCCAGAUAUGAGAUUUUGUCAUAUCCAAAUCUUGACUGAAAUUGCUUUAACAAAGGGUUCCCAAAUUAGCCAAAAAAGCAAACUAACUAACCUUGCAUUUAGAAAUCUGUUGCUCACGGGAGCAGGUGUGGGGGCUUUGUUCGACGGUGGGCCGGUGGCUCAGAGACUACCGCUACGAAACAGAUAAAUGUGGAGAAGAAAAUGAUUUUGAUUCGCGAAUAAUUUACGGAGUGAGGGACUGAAAUGGAUUAGGGUGAGAAAAUGACAAUGAAUUGCAACCAUAGAAAAUCUAACAAAUAAGAUUAGGGUUCGUGAAUUGGGAAUUUGGGAAAGUGACUUUCUUUGUUUUCUUUAAAUCAGCAAAUUAAAAAAAAAAAAAAAAACUAAAGCACAAAAAAGUAAAAAGAUAGCGAGAAUGAGGUGCUGGUUAAGAGGGUAUCAUGGACAUUACAUAAGUAGAAUGUGUGUUGCAAGUGGAAUGUGUCUUAUUGUGAUAUUGUAAAGUCAAAAUGUGUCUGUGAGUGUAAAUUUUUCUUAUUUUAUCUACCGCAAUUUUCUCUAUAUUUUAACGAUAAAAAGAUAAUUGGGAAGAAAGUUUUGUUGCGUUGAGAUUCAGAUAUUUUUGCAAGACUUCAGCUGAAGUGCACAUGUGCAUCAACUGUUAUAUAUGGUAGACUCUUUAAAUAAUCUUUUUUUUUUUUUUUUUGAUAACUCUGGUAUCUGGGCAGCCACAUUCUCAAUUAUUCCUCCGAAAGGGGUCCAGCGCCCCAACGGAAAGGAUGUUAAAUCCGUUGUGGCCAAGAUUCAAACCCAGGUGGCGGACAGUACAUCUGUACCUCCUUUACCACCAAGUUACGAGCGCUUGGUUCUCUUUAAAUAAUCUUCACUCCUCAAAAUCCUCCAAAAUAAGUUUCAGUUCGCAUAGAUUAUUUUUCGAAUGAUGAUGUGUGAAUGGUCUAUCGUGGUUUUAUUUUAGGUUUUCGAUUUGGUUAUCCCGUCAUACUAAUAAAUCGAUUUAAAGUUGAGCAUAAAUAGAUAUUAUUUUAAUCUUUGGUCUUAUUUACGAGAACAUUUUUUCAACUGUUUCGUCUUUCCAUUUUAUAUAUUCCUUACAAUCGCAUUAUAUUUUAGAUGUAACUAGAAUUUAUCCCGCACAUUUGUGCGGGUAUUUUUCAUUUUAUAAACUUUGACAUUAUCAUACAAUUUUUGAAUAUAUGAUUUAUAUUUUAGUGUUAUGUAUUAUAUAACUAUUAAAUCUUAGUGUUUAGGUUUUUUUAUUAUUUUAUUAAUAUAUAGUGAUUUGGUUAUGUCUUUUACUCUUUUAUUAAUUUUUAUUACAUUUUCAAGUUUGGUACAAUUAAUAUAUAAUUUGAAAUAAUCAAAUUAAGAAUCUUCUUCAACAUAUGAUAUUUUGAAAAAUAUAUAGCUGUAGAAAUAAAAUUUCAACAUAUGUUAAUAACUUUAUUUUGGUAUAAAAUAUUAUGUAGUUAACUUAUUUUAACCCGUUUAAUGGUAAAUGAUAAUUUAUUUAUAUGAAAGCUUUUCUAAAAAA
Brassica rapa (field mustard) is the source of this 3683-nucleotide long non-coding RNA. RefSeq lists it as uncharacterized. The record is from RefSeq and is a predicted model, not a curated record. Lineage: Eukaryota; Viridiplantae; Streptophyta; Magnoliopsida; Brassicales; Brassicaceae.